This 28-nucleotide non-coding RNA is filed under the name Homo sapiens (human). Lineage: Eukaryota; Metazoa; Chordata; Mammalia; Primates; Hominidae. The record is from RNAcentral.
UGAGAAGUGAGGAGACCCUCUGCCUGGC